This 1373-nucleotide ribosomal RNA is filed under the name uncultured bacterium. Its description in RNAcentral is "bacterial SSU rRNA". It matches the Rfam family "Bacterial small subunit ribosomal RNA", at positions 28 to 1381 of the family's 1533-position model. The record is from RNAcentral.
GAUGAACGCUGGCGGCGUGCCUAAUACAUGCAAGUCGAGCGAACGGACGAGAAGCUUGCUUCUCUGAUGUUAGCGGCGGACGGGUGAGUAACACGUGGAUAACCUACCUAUAAGACUGGGAUAACUUCGGGAAACCGGAGCUAAUACCGGAUAAUAUUUUGAACCGCAUGGUUCAAAAGUGAAAGACGGUCUUGCUGUCACUUAUAGAUGGAUCCGCGCUGCAUUAACUAGUUGGUAAGGUAACGGCUUACCAAGGCAACGAUGCAUAGCCGACCUGAGAGGGUGAUCGGCCACACUGGAACUGAGACACGGUCCAGACUCCUACGGGAGGCAGCAGUAGGGAAUCUUCCGCAAUGGGCGAAAGCCUGACGGAGCAACGCCGCGUGAGUGAUGAAGGUCUUCGGAUCGUAAAACUCUGUUAUUAGGGAAGAACAUAUGUGUAAGUAACUGUGCACAUCUUGACGGUACCUAAUCAGAAAGCCACGGCUAACUACGUGCCAGCAGCCGCGGUAAUACGUAGGUGGCAAGCGUUAUCCGGAAUUAUUGGGCGUAAAGCGCGCGUAGGCGGUUUUUUAAGUCUGAUGUGAAAGCCCACGGCUCAACCGUGGAGGGUCAUUGGAAACUGGAAAACUUGAGUGCAGAAGAGGAAAGUGGAAUUCCAUGUGUAGCGGUGAAAUGCGCAGAGAUAUGGAGGAACACCAGUGGCGAAGGCGACUUUCUGGUCUGUAACUGACGCUGACGUGCGAAAGCGUGGGGAUCAAACAGGAUUAGAUACCCUGGUAGUCCACGCCGUAAACGAUGAGUGCUAAGUGUUAGGGGGUUUCCGCCCCUUAGUGCUGCAGCUAACGCAUUAAGCACUCCGCCUGGGGAGUACGACCGCAAGGUUGAAACUCAAAGGAAUUGACGGGGACCCGCACAAGCGGUGGAGCAUGUGGUUUAAUUCGAAGCAACGCGAAGAACCUUACCAAAUCUUGACAUCCUUUGACAACUCUAGAGAUAGAGCCUUCCCCUUCGGGGGGGCAAAGUGACAGGUGGUGCAUGGUUGUCGUCAGCUCGUGUCGUGAGAUGUUGGGUUAAGUCCCGCAACGAGCGCAACCCUUAAGCUUAGUUGCCAUCAUUAAGUUGGGCACUCUAAGUUGACUGCCGGUGACAAACCGGAGGAAGGUGGGGAUGACGUCAAAUCAUCAUGCCCCUUAUGAUUUGGGCUACACACGUGCUACAAUGGACAAUACAAAGGGCAGCGAAACCGCGAGGUCAAGCAAAUCCCAUAAAGUUGUUCUCAGUUCGGAUUGUAGUCUGCAACUCGACUACAUGAAGCUGGAAUCGCUAGUAAUCGUAGAUCAGCAUGCUACGGUGAAUACGUUCCCGGGUCU